CCUUUCCAACUGGCCUCUCUGUCUGCAGAGUUCACGGAUCUCAGGCUGCAGAAGUAUGGACAGCCAUGCGCAGGGCGGCUGGAAGUUUUCUACCAUGGAAGUUGGGGGGGAAUCUGCCAUCUCCUGAGCACAGCCUCCCUGGGGAUCCUGUGUGGGCAGUUGGGCUGUGGGCCCCAAGGGCAGCUACUGGGCAGGCCAGAAAGCUGGCCUUCCCUUGGGGUUUUCUGGCUGACUUCCAUUCAGUGCAGGCCUAGGCACGACAGGUCCCUGUGGCAGUGCCCCUCAUCUGCCUGGGACCUGCAUUCCUGCUCCAGCAGUGAGGAGGCCUGGGUCUUGUGUGCAGAAAACAAGCCAGAAAUUCCUGAGGAUUCUGAGCAGACCCUUAACUGCUCAUCCACACUCAGUUGCCCAGAGGAGGGUGCACUGCGCCUUCGAGGAGGUGAUGGUGCCUGCUCAGGGCGUGUAGAGCUUUGGCACGCAGGCUCCUGGGGCACCGUGUGUGAUGACUCCUGGGACCUCGCAGAUGCAGAGGUCGUGUGCCGCCAGCUGGGCUGUGGUCAGGCCAUGGAUGCUG
Chinchilla lanigera (long-tailed chinchilla) is the source of this 574-nucleotide long non-coding RNA. RefSeq lists it as uncharacterized. The record is from RefSeq and is a predicted model, not a curated record. Lineage: Eukaryota; Metazoa; Chordata; Mammalia; Rodentia; Chinchillidae. The transcript has 3 exons.